AGUCUGGUGCCAGCAGCCGCGGUAAUUCCAGCUCCAAUAGCGUAUAUUAAAGUUGUUGCAGUUAAAAAGCUCGUAGUUGGAUCUCAGGAUUUGGAUGGAUGGUUCGCUUUCGGGCGCUACUAUCUGUCUGACCUACUCUAGUCGUGGAUGCCUUGGGUGCUCUUAAUUGAGUGCUUUUGGUGCCCGACGCAAUUACUUUGAAAAAAUUAGAGCGCUCAAAGCAGGCGUAUUGCCUGAAUAGUGUUGCAUGGAAUAAUGAAAUAGGGGUUUACUUCUAUUUUGUUGGUUUUCGGAGGUGAACUAAUGAUUAACAGGGACAGACGGGGGCAUUUGUAUGGAGGGGUUAGAGGUGAAAUUCUUGGAUCCUCUCCAGACAAACUACUGCGAAAGCAUUUGCCAGGAAUGUUUUCACUAAUCAAGAACGAAAGUCAGAGGUUCGAAGACGAUCAGAUACCGUCCUAGUUCUGACCAUAAAUGAUGCCAUCUAACAAUCCACGAAGUUUGCUUGUACGAACUCGUGGGCGGUCCCCGGGAAACCAAAGAUUUUGGGUUCCGGGGGAAGUAUGGUUGCAAAGCUGAAACUUAAAGGAAUUGACGGAAGGGCACCACCAGGAGUGGAGCCUGCGGCUUAAUUUGACCCAACACGGGAAACCUCACCCGGCCCGGACACUUUUAGGAUUGACAGAUUGAAGGCUCUUUCUUGAUCAAGUGGUUGGUGGUGCAUGGCCGUUCUUAGUUGGUGGAGCGAUUUGUCUGGUUAAUUCCGAUAACGAACGAGACUCUACUCUGCUAAAUAGAGCGUUGAUAUAUAAAAGUCAGUGCUGACUUCUUAGAGAGACUAACGGCGUUUAGCCGUGUGAGAAAGAGCAAUAACAGGUCUGUGAUGCCCUUAGAUGUCCGGGGCCGCACGCGCGCUACACUGACUGCAGCAACUAGUAUGCUCCUGGUUUGAAAAAACUGGGUAACCUGGUUGAAUUGCAGGCGUGACAGGGAUCAGAGUUUGCAAUUAUCCUCUGUGAACGAGGAAUUCCCAGUAAGCGCAAGUCAUUAGCUUGUGCUGAUUACGUCCCUGCCCUUUGUACACACCGCCCGUCGCUACUACCGAUUGAAUGGUUUAGUGAGGUCUUCGGAUUGGUGCUGAUGGAGUGGUUCUCUGCUCUGUUAGUGCCGAGAAGAUGAUCAAACUUGAUCAUUUAGAGGAAGUAAAAGUCGUAACAAGGU
RNAcentral lists this ribosomal RNA (1221 nucleotides) under metagenome. Its description in RNAcentral is "SSU rRNA". It matches the Rfam family "Eukaryotic small subunit ribosomal RNA", at positions 558 to 1800 of the family's 1831-position model. The record is from RNAcentral.